AUUGAACGCUGGCGGCAUGCCUUACACAUGCAAGUCGAACGGCAGCACGGGAGCAAUCCUGGUGGCGAGUGGCGAACGGGUGAGUAAUAUAUCGGAACGUGCCCAGUGAUGGGGGAUAGCCCGGCGAAAGCCGGAUUAAUACCGCAUACGACCUACGGGUGAAAGCAGGGAGUCGCAAGACCUUGCGUCAUUGGAGCGGCCGAUAUCAGAUUAGCUUGUGGUGGGGUAAAGGACCUACCAAGGCGACGAUCUGUAGCUGGUCUGAGAGGACGACCAGCCACACUGGGACGUGAGACACGGCCCAGACUCCUACGGGAGGCAGCAGUGGGGAAUUUUGGACAAUGGGCGCAAGCCUGAUCCAGCCAUGCCGCGUGCGGG
Molecule: ribosomal RNA, 378 nt
Filed under: uncultured bacterium
Lineage: Bacteria
Description: bacterial SSU rRNA
Rfam family: Bacterial small subunit ribosomal RNA
Source: RNAcentral